CCCUGUCUGAAACCUGGUAUUCCCAAGGCAAAAGGAAAGAGCAGGGUGACUGGAAGGACAUGAUGGCUCUUAAAGCUUCUGUUCAGAGCUGGUUUAUGCCAUGUCCACCUCCGACUCAUAGGCCAUACGAAAUUACAAGGCCAGGCCUGAUGAUGGGGGGGGCUUUCCGCAAAUCUCACGGCAGGGGUGAACAAUCCUCUUGCAGAAAGUUGGCAGCAGAUGAGGAGGACUAUGAUACAGCCUACCCUGCCCAGUCAGCUUUCUGUGCACAGUGACAACUGGCCUUUUUAGCAGCAUUAUUUAAUGAAUGCAACUGACAGUGAAGAAAGUCAUUUUAUACCAGAGAAGCCAUGCCAGCGCUGUAAUAAAACCAGGCCCUGGGGGGAAAGGUCAGAACUUGGGCAGAGGGCUCCCUUUCCAGUUCAGGGCAUUCUAGCCAGUGAGCAGGUCGGAGGCCCAGCCCUCCUUGGGCUGCUGGGAUUUCCUUUUGAUGCAAGUUGGGGUCACUGCCUCCCUGAGGCUAUGGGUUCAGCCUGUAUGGAACUUUGGUGGUAGGGAUUUUUGGUGUUUUUUUUCCCUAAUAAACAAAGCAAGGGGCCAGAUGGGAGAAGCAGGCCACACUGUCUGAAAUCUACGGAAGUGCUGUGGUUUCGGCUGCUGUAAACAUCUGGAUGCAGGAGAUGGCGUGGGCAGAUGCAGGCUGAGAGCUGACCCACGUUCUUCAGAGGCCACAGGCCCCAAUUUCUAUCUCUAACUGCCCACCAUCCCCCCUGUUUUUGGCAAAAAAAACAAUCAGAUUAUUGGAAUAGUAGCAUUUCGGAUAAAAAAUAGAAUUAUAUAAUUACAAAAAGCAGGAAGAUUUGGAAGGGACUCUUGAUAUUAUCCGGGUGUACCCUAUCAAAGACAGAAAGCCCAGAUAUGGUAAGUGGCCAGCCCAAGGUCCCCGGGGAAACCUAGACACACUGCAUCCUGUCUUCCUGGUGCCCAGCACCAAGGGUGUGCCCAGUCUGUGGGCUCAAUGAGGGAAGGAUAACGGAAUGGACUGAUCCAUGGAUCCCACUCCAGGAUUUUCAGGCAGCGGGGCUCCUGGUGAAGGGUCAGGCCCAAGUCCAAAGGUCUUCAAGAUCUGAGAUUCUUUUUGUUCCUCCAAUGGGGGGAGGGAGGGGCACGGUGAGGCCUCUUGAGGUUUGUGAUUCCUGCUCUCCAAGGUUGUGUCAGCUCAACCUAAAAGCAUGUCUGGAUGUCCUGUAAAUAAUCUGGUAAAUCUCUGCUCUCAGGAGCAAGCAAAUCAGAACACAUAACUCUUGGGCCUCCAGGUCUGACAUUUCGGCUGGAGCAACAGUGGUGUGACCUGGUGGAAACAGGACUCCCGAGACUCGACUUCUUUAUUUUCUUCGUCCAGACUUUCCCAAAAGCUGGUGCUCUGAGAUUCCCCUUCAGGAGGAGGAUGCUCGGUGUGAAUGGACGGUCUGAGGUGCCAAAAUAAGUAACAUUCAUCAGGUUAUGUUAAUAGGAGCCAAGCCUUUACCGUGGAUUCUCCCUGAUGCUCUCAAACACCCACGAGCAUGUUAUGGGACAGGGCUUCUGUGACCUUCCUUUCGGAAGCUGACCUCUCGCUCUCCAGGAGGACACCCAGCCAUCAGGGAGAGACCUGCCUUCCAACGGCUCUUGCCCGGCUCUGGUAUCUGCAGGAAGCUGCAGGAAGUCACGGGAGUUGAACUGGGCCAGAACCUUUGGACUGGGCAAACCUCAAUUGUUGAAGAAGCCAGCAGGAGGAAGGACAUCCUGAUCACAAGACGAUGGACGUGGACUUGCUGAAGGUACCAUCCGUAGUCAGUCAAUGUGUAACCCAGACGGCUUAGCUUGUUAACACCCAGAAGAAGCUUUUUUUCCCCUUAACUCAUGUAAUUGCCCCUCAACCCUUCUUUCUUUUCCUCAUAAACCCCCCUUGCUUUCACCCUAUAAGCAGCACUGUUUGGGUAUCUACCUGAGUCUGUGCUCCCCAAAUUGUAAUUCUGAGACCCUAAAUCAAAGGUUUUUAUUCUUUUUCAGUUUUGCCUCCAUUUGUCAGUUGACAAUGGUUACACCAUCAAGGUCACCCAGGGCAGAGAGCCAGCUCGGGGCAGGAGGGCCCUUGCCACUUGCUCCACCACCCAGCAUCUCCAGGGUUGGGAAUCAUUACUUUAGGAGAUGGGCGGGAGGGUCCUGUCUGAUCUAUGAAAUGUGGGUGCAGCCCCAGGUCACCUGGGCAUGUUCAGAGAGCCCCCCACCCCCGACCCCCGUCUCCACAAGCAGGAAGGAAGGACAGAGGGUGUGAAAUGCCUCCAAUCAGGAAAGAUGUCUCUGAGUGAGGGGGCACGAGGCUGGACUGGGGUGAGUCCUGGAGGCUGGAAGUGCAGGAGGGGCCACAGUCCGGGAAGGGCAGAGAGCAGCAGAUCCGGGAGCGGAUCCUGACCGGGUUUCUCGGACGGACGUGUCCUGGUCCGCAGCCCCGCCUCCGUAAGGGGCCGCUGGGCGGAAGGAUGCUGAGCCUCCGGGCUGACUCGGGCCCUCCUCCUCCCGCAUUCCAUCAGCCGCUGUUUCUUGCAUGGUUGUUUAUUCCCAGCUUUAUUUACCAUUCUCAAGACUCUUCAUUAUUGUCUUGUUU
This is a long non-coding RNA of Manis javanica (Malayan pangolin), 2647 nucleotides long. RefSeq lists it as uncharacterized. NCBI's taxonomy places the organism in Eukaryota, Metazoa, Chordata, Mammalia, Pholidota, Manidae. The record is from RefSeq and is a predicted model, not a curated record.